AGCGAACGCUGGCGGCAGGCUUAACACAUGCAAGUCGAGCGGGCACUUUCGGGUGUCAGCGGCGGGCGGGUGGGGAACGCGGGGGAACGAGCACGCGGGUAAGGAAUAAAUCAGGGAAAGAUGAGCUAAUAACGGAUACGCCAAAUUGGGGAAAGGCUUGCUGCCGGAGGAUCGGCCCGCGUAAGAUUCGCCAGGUGGUGGGGUAACGGCGCACCAAGGCGGCGAUCGGUAGCUGGUCUGUGAGGAUGAUCAGCCACACGUGCACUGAGACACGGCCCAGACUCCUACGGGAGGCAGCAGUGGGGAAUAUUGCACAAUGGGCGCAAGCCUGAUCCAUCCAUGCCGCUUGAGUUAUGAAGUCCUUAGGGUUGUAAAGCUCUUUUAUCCGGGACGAUAAUGACGGUACCUGAGGAAUAAGCCCCGGCUAACUUCGUG
Molecule: ribosomal RNA, 435 nt
Filed under: uncultured bacterium
Lineage: Bacteria
Description: partial 16S ribosomal RNA
Rfam family: Bacterial small subunit ribosomal RNA
Source: RNAcentral